CUCCCAUACAUUCCAUUCCGUCGAGUUGCCGGGUUCACUUCACAUUGGAACUUUUGCUAGCGCAAACCACGCGGAAUAACUUGACGUGACACAUAUUUGCAGACUUUUUCUGCCGGAUACACACGGAACUUCCACACAAUAAACAUGAAAGUCGCACUUCAAAUUUGUUUAUUACUUAUCAGUUGCUGUCUUAUAUCUGCAUAUUGGAUAGAUUCCGAUUACUCCUCUGCCGCUGACGAGGACGACAGUAAUAUCAUGAAUUCUAUCAGAGCCGUCAAAAGGAGGACGUGCGCUAGCUGGGGCUUUAACUGCAUGCCCGACUCCCCCCUUCAGUUUACCAAAUGCUGUAAGGGUCUAUCAUGCACCUGCAACCUGUUUAUAAGGACCCAUUGUAAAUGUCGGGCAAGGCUGGGCAAAUAAACAUGAACUGUGUGGCGUAGACGUCUUGUAAAACAUUGAGAUACAAAAUAUUUUCCUUGCAAAACUCUGUGCCAUUCUCCGAUUGGACGUAUGGAUUAUUCAUAAUGUCAUUUACAAAACUUUAUAUGACUGACGAUUUCAAAUUUGGUUGUGAAAUUUCUACUAUGGUUGUGCUAUAAACUUCAAAUAUGCAAAGGAGAAUAUAAAGUUUCUAGUGUGUCGUCGUAUUGUGUCGUCCCUGUAUAACUGUACACCACCCAUGUUGGACUAUUAAAUCGUAAACCUAUCAAAGAAGACCCACUCAAGUCAGUGGCCUUUUCUCUUCAGAACCUGUGCUUCCUGGGGCAUGAGAUGUCUAGCUGAUUCAAAUUAUCCGUUCGCCAAGUGCUGUCCAGGUCUCAACUGUAACUGCAACAUUUGGAAAACCGUCUGCAAAUGCCGAGCACGACUCGGGUAACAUCGGCCUAACUCGGGCAUGUAUCGGGUGAUUCCGACUUUGGUGCAGCUAAGUUCGCUUUGCUAUUCUGGAUUCGGAUAAGUUCGAUUGCAGCUCAGUUUCUGUCGCUCAAACAGACAGGUGAAUACAACACGAUGCCUUCUACAUCUAAUCCAUUACAGACAAAUAAUAACCCAACUAUUGCUUAUAAUGGAUAUCUUCAAAGUAACUAUGCCGACGAAAAUAAUGUCGGACAAGUCGACAACCGCAUUUAUGUUUUACUGAAUAAAAGUUAAUUGAAAUACCCUUUGAAUUGAUUGAUUUAAGAUACUUUAAAUAAUCACAUUGUUUGCACCGUGUAACGUUUAAACUCGUUGAAUUGAUACUCUCGAUAACAAUAAUGUAUUUGUUCGUCUUCUUUAUCAUUUAUCUCUACAAUGCUCUCAGAAAAUAAAUAAAUUGUUAACAUCUUG
Molecule: long non-coding RNA, 1329 nt
Organism: Mya arenaria
Lineage: Eukaryota; Metazoa; Mollusca; Bivalvia; Myida; Myidae
Exons: 3
Source: RefSeq, a predicted model, not a curated record